This 508-nucleotide ribosomal RNA is filed under the name uncultured bacterium. RNAcentral's name for it is "partial 16S ribosomal RNA". It matches the Rfam family "Bacterial small subunit ribosomal RNA", at positions 28 to 507 of the family's 1533-position model. The record is from RNAcentral.
GACGAACGCUGGCGGCGUGUCUAAUACAUGCAAGUCGAACGCUUCUUUCCUCCCGAUUGCUUGCACUCAAUUGGUAAGAGGAUUGGCGGACGGGUGAGUAACACGUGGGUAACCUACCCAUCAGAGGGGGAUAACACUUUGAAACAGGUGCUAAUACCGCAUAACAGUUUAUGCCGCAUGGCAUAAGAGUGAAAGGCGCUUUCGGGUGUCGUUGUUGGAUGGACCCGCCGUGCAUUAGCUAGUUGGUGAGGUAACGGCUCACCAAGGCCACGCUGCAUAGACGACCUAGGUGGGUACACGCCCACACUAGGACUGAGACACGGCCCAGACUCCCACGGGAGGCACCAGUCGGGAAUCUUCGGAACAGGCCGACAGUCUGACCGACCAACGCCGCGUGAGUGAAGAAGGCUUUCGGAUAGUAGAGCUCUGUUCUGAGCGCAGAACAAGGAGCUCAGUAACUGAACGUCUCCUGCCGGUAGCCAACCAGAAAGCAACGGCUACCUACGUC